This 282-nucleotide long non-coding RNA is filed under the name Elaeis guineensis (African oil palm). RNAcentral describes it as "long non-coding RNA (EGUI_LNC034950)". Lineage: Eukaryota; Viridiplantae; Streptophyta; Magnoliopsida; Arecales; Arecaceae. The record is from RNAcentral.
CCGAGCUUCUACAAUAAGCAGUCUCCAUCCGAGCUUCUAUAAUAAGCGGUUUCCAUCCGGGCUUCCACGGCAAUCGGUCUCCAUCCGAGCUUCUACAGUAAGCGGCCUCCUUCUAGACUCCUACAAGAACCGGAUUUCGUCCGAACUUCUACAACAUAAUUAGAUUCCAGACGAACUUCUACAACGGACGGGCUCCAUCUCAGUUACAACUGAGUAGUGCUGGAUGCCAAGGAAGGAGUUUGAAUCUUCUAUGGUCUCCACUAUUAUGACCUCCCAGUGAUC